UACGUAGGUGGCAAGCGUUGUCCGGAAUUAUUGGGCGUAAAGCGCGCGCAGGUGGUUUCUUAAGUCUGAUGUGAAAGCCCACGGCUCAACCGUGGAGGGUCAUUGGAAACUGGGGAACUUGAGUGCAGGAGAGAAGAGUGGAAUUCCACGUGUAGCGGUGAAAUGCGUAGAGAUGUGGAGGAACACCAGUGGCGAAGGCGACUCUUUGGCCUGUAACUGACCCUGAGGCGCGAAAGCGUGGGGAGCAAACAGG
Molecule: ribosomal RNA, 253 nt
Filed under: uncultured bacterium
Lineage: Bacteria
Description: partial 16S ribosomal RNA
Rfam family: Bacterial small subunit ribosomal RNA
Source: RNAcentral